CGCCGUUCCGACAGUGUUCCACGAACAAAGCGAGCCAGCAACUUCGACACUGCAGGCAGUUCGACAGGGUCAAGCGCAAGUGAAGGACCAGGUGCUGCUGAUCAAGUCCCAUCCAUCCAUGAAAC
Long non-coding RNA from Ornithodoros turicata, 125 nucleotides. RefSeq lists it as uncharacterized. NCBI's taxonomy places the organism in Eukaryota, Metazoa, Arthropoda, Arachnida, Ixodida, Argasidae. The record is from RefSeq and is a predicted model, not a curated record. The transcript has 3 exons.